This 836-nucleotide ribosomal RNA is filed under the name Haptophyta environmental samples. RNAcentral describes it as "bacterial SSU rRNA". It matches the Rfam family "Bacterial small subunit ribosomal RNA", at positions 481 to 1325 of the family's 1533-position model. Lineage: Eukaryota; Haptophyta. The record is from RNAcentral.
GAGGAAUAAGCAUCGGCUAACUCCGUGCCAGCAGCCGCGGUAAUACGGGGGAUGCAAGCGUUAUCCGGAAUCAUUGGGCGUAAAGCGCCUGUAGGUGGUUUAAUAAGUCUGUUGUUAAAGACUAGGGCUUAACCCUAGGAAAGCAAUGGAAACUAAUAGACUAGAGUAUGGCAGGGGUAGAGGGAAUUUCUAGUGUAGCGGUGAAAUGCGUAGAUAUUAGAAAGAGCACCGGUGGCGAAAGCGCUCUACUGGACCAUUACUGACACUCAGAGGCGAAAGCUAGGGUAGCAAAAGGGAUUAGAUACCCCUGUAGUCCUAGCCGUAAACGAUGGAUACUACAUGUUGUGCUUUAUGUACAGUAUGGUAGCUAACGCGUUAAGUAUCCCGCCUGGGGAGUACGCUCGCAAGGGUGAAACUCAAAGGAAUUGACGGGGGCCCGCACAAGCGGUGGAGCAUGUGGUUUAAUUCGAUGCAACGCGAAGAACCUUACCAGGACUUGACAUACUACAAAUUCUUUUGAGAAAAAGAAGUGCCUUCGGGAAUGUAGAUACAGGUGGUGCAUGGCUGUCGUCAGCUCGUGUCGUGAGAUGUUGGGUUAAGUCCCGCAACGAGCGCAACCCUUAUUUUUAGUUACCAAUUCGUUGGGUUCUCUAGAAAGACUGCCGGUGACAAACCGGAGGAAGGUGAGGAUGACGUCAAGUCAGCAUGCCCCUUAUGUCCUGGGCUACACACGUGCUACAAUGGUUAAGACAAAAAGUCGCGAGCUCGCAAGAGUCAGCUAAUCUCAUAAACUUAGCCCAAGUUCAGAUUGUAGGCUGCAACUCGCCUGCAUGAAG